Molecule: ribosomal RNA, 469 nt
Filed under: uncultured bacterium
Lineage: Bacteria
Description: partial 16S ribosomal RNA
Rfam family: Bacterial small subunit ribosomal RNA
Source: RNAcentral
AACGAACGUUGGCGGCGUGGAUUAGGCAUGCAAGUCGAACGCGAAUCCCUGGGCAACUGGGGAGGAGAGUGGCGAAAGGGGCAGUAAGGCGUGGGUAACCUACCCUCCGGGCCGGGAUAGCUUCGGGAAACUGAAGGUAAUACCGGGCGACGCAGCGAGAUCGCAUGGUCUUGCUGCCAAAGGUCCGCCGCCGGGGGAGGGGCUCACGUGGUAUUAGCUAGACGGCGGGGUAACGGCCCACCGUGGCAAAGAUGCCUAGCAGGUGUGAGAGCACGACCUGCGCCACUGGCACUGAGACACUGGCCAGACACCUACGGGUGGCUGCAGUCGAGGAUCUUCGGCAAUGGGCGCAAGCCUGACCGAGCGACGCCGCGUGUGCGAUGAAGGCCAUCGGGUUGUAAAGCACUGUCGAGGGGGAGGAAGCCGCAAGGUUGACCUAUCCCUGGAGGAAGCACGGGCUAAGUUCGUG